This 477-nucleotide ribosomal RNA is filed under the name uncultured bacterium. Its description in RNAcentral is "bacterial SSU rRNA". It matches the Rfam family "Bacterial small subunit ribosomal RNA", at positions 29 to 524 of the family's 1533-position model. The record is from RNAcentral.
AUUGAACGCUGGCGGAAUGCUUUACACAUGCAAGUCGAGCGGCAGCGCGGGGGCAACCCUGGCGGCGAGCGGCGAACGGGUGAGUAAUACAUCGGAACGUGUCCUGGAGUGGGGGAUAGCUCGGCGAAAGCCGGAUUAAUACCGCAUAAGCUCUGAGGAGGAAAGCGGGGGCUCCGUAAGGACCUCGCGCUGUUGGAGCGGCCGAUGUCGGAUUAGCUAGUUGGUGGGGAAAGGCCCACCAAGGCGACGAUCCGUAGCUGGUCUGAGAGGAUGAUCAGCCACACUGGAACUGAGACACGGUCCAGACUCCUACGGGAGGCAGCAGUGGGGAAUCUUGCGCAAUGGGCGAAAGCCUGACGCAGCCAUGCCGCGUGAAUGAUGAAGGUCUUAGGAUUGUAAAGUUCUUUCGCUCGUGACGAUGAUGACGGUAACGAGAGAAGAAGCCCCGGCUAACUUCGUGCCAGCAGCAGCCGCAGU